CACACUUUUGAGGUCUUUCGGGUUGUAGCUUGGCUUGGGUUAGGGUAUGGAUUAUACAAAAGGAAAACAAGUGGCUUUUGGUUCAGAGUCGAUGUCACAUCCUGUGUUUGUUUCUUUUAUUUUCUCGAUUUUUUUUUCUUAUUAUUUUUCUUUUUAUCGACUGCCCUUUUCCGUGCUUCUUUUUGAAUCUUUGAGUUAUCUUUUUU
This 206-nucleotide long non-coding RNA is filed under the name Lathyrus oleraceus (garden pea). Its description in RNAcentral is "Pisum sativum (pea) long non-coding RNA (PSAT_LNC012564)". The record is from RNAcentral. Lineage: Eukaryota; Viridiplantae; Streptophyta; Magnoliopsida; Fabales; Fabaceae.